Non-coding RNA from Hypoxylon cercidicola, 100 nucleotides. The record is from the annotation of a GenBank genome assembly. NCBI's taxonomy places the organism in Eukaryota, Fungi, Ascomycota, Sordariomycetes, Xylariales, Hypoxylaceae.
GGCACGAUGGCGGAGUGGUUAACGCGAUGCCCUGCUAUCUCUAUAAAAGAUUGUUAAGGCAUUUCCCUCGGGAGCGCAGGUUCGAAUCCUGCUCGUGUCG